Molecule: unclassified non-coding RNA, 389 nt
Filed under: soil metagenome
Description: partial contains small subunit ribosomal RNA, internal transcribed spacer 1, and 5.8S ribosomal RNA
Source: RNAcentral
UUUCCGUAGGUGAACCUGCGGAAGGAUCAUUGCACACACAAAGUUGCAGCAAACCCCCUUUGCGAAUUUCAUGAAUGUCCCCCUUGUGUUUUGGGGGGCUGGGGCAUCCUCGUUGUCACUACUCGUGGUGGUGGCGGUGGUGUCCCGGCCUGCCAAACACAUCCAAGUCCCCCCAAUACAAAGGGAGGCUUGGGGCUCUCUUCCCUCAACCGGGUCGGCGGCCCCUUGUCCCCCCUUGGAGGGACUUGGUAACCAACCGAUUGCGCAAUGCAUCAACACUUUCAAUAUGACUGAGUAUAAAAAUCGGGACACUGCCGCUUGCAAAGGUGGCGGUGUCCCCGAGUUGUGAUAAACAAAAACAACUCUCAGCAACGGAUAUCUUGGCUCUU